UGGGGAAUAUUGCACAAUGGGCGAAAGCCUGAUGCAGCAACGCCGCGUGCGGGAAGAAGGCCUUAGGGUUGUAAACCGCUUUCAGCAGGGAAGAAACUGACGGUACCUGCAGAAGAAGGUGCGGCCAACUACGUGCCAGCAGCCGCGGUGACACGUAGGCACCAAGCGUUGUCCGGAUUUAUUGGGCGUAAAGAGCUCGUAGGCGGUUCAGUAAGUCGGGUGUGAAAACUCUGGGCUCAACUCAGAGACGCCACCCGAUACUGCUGUGACUUGAGUACGGUAGGGGAGUGGGGAAUUCCUGGUGUAGCGGUGAAAUGCGCAGAUAUCAGGAGGAACACCAGUGGCGAAGGCGCCACUCUGGGCCGUAACUGACGCUGAGGAGCGAAAGCGUGGGGAGCAAACAGG
RNAcentral lists this ribosomal RNA (405 nucleotides) under uncultured Acidimicrobiales bacterium. Its description in RNAcentral is "bacterial SSU rRNA". It matches the Rfam family "Bacterial small subunit ribosomal RNA", at positions 355 to 776 of the family's 1533-position model. The record is from RNAcentral. Lineage: Bacteria; Bacillati; Actinomycetota; Acidimicrobiia; Acidimicrobiales.